This 294-nucleotide signal recognition particle RNA is filed under the name Phaseolus vulgaris (common bean). RNAcentral describes it as "SRP RNA Plant_SRP". It matches the Rfam family "Plant signal recognition particle RNA". The record is from Rfam by way of RNAcentral. Lineage: Eukaryota; Viridiplantae; Streptophyta; Magnoliopsida; Fabales; Fabaceae.
GCUGAGCUGGGUUACUCCAGCUUGUGACCCAAGUGGGAGCAUUACUGUGAUCGAACAACAUCGAGGCUUGCUGGGUUUGCAAUAUGUUGGCCUGCCCACUCCAAGUCCAGAGUUGAGUCUGGGGACUUUAGUGAAGGCUAAGGUCUCUUGACUCUUAGAGUGGAGGGCACAGCGUGAGGCUGGUUUCACAGAGCAGCGACCACCUCCCACUCCUGACAGUGGAGGGAUUACAGGCUGCAGCAGCCUCAGUCCUUAAUGGCCUGGUCAGCCUAGUUUGCUUGGACUAUCACUUUU